UUGGAUAGGGUUUUUUGAGAUAAACAUUCCAUGUGUUGAUUUAUAGAGAAGUGUACCCCAAAUAAGCACUCUCUUAAAUGUAGUUGAGAUUUAUUGACCUCAAUAUUUGCCUUUUUCAAUUGCAUUAUGUGACACAUGUGUUGUACUAAGUACGUUUGCCCAGUAUUGAUAAAAGCUAUCAUUAGCAAACAUAUAGUUCACGAGUACAUUGGCUUUCAUUGGUGAACCUAAGGUUUAUGGUAGUCUAAGACGUUCUUUAUGAGUAUGAGGAUAUUUUUAGCGAGUUGAUAAUUCAAUCACAUAUUAUGCUAAUUUUUUUCCGUUAUUUCUACUUUUUUUGAAACAAUUCAUCGUUGAUUAAUAAAUUAAUAGUAGUAAUUACCCAAGAAUGUUGCAUAUGGAUGAAUUCAAUUAUUUGACAUUGGUAUUUUAAGAUUUCGAGGUAAUGUAAUAGAUAAUACAAUCCUUGUGGGAGGAUCAUUGUUAUGAAAUAAAUUUUUGGACCAUGAUUAUGGACUUAAUUUAAUAGUUUAAAGUAAUAAUCGGUACAAUUUUCCUAUUGCAGACAAUCAAUCGGCCAAAUUUUUUUACUUAAAAAGUAUGGCAAUGACUUCUACAACGUUUGCUUCGACCUUGACCAAUUGUGUUCCCGCAUUGAACAUAUUUUCUUAACAUUAAAUGUGGAUUAAUAGUUAACAUAUGAGAUUUCUUCCUUCCGAAGACCAAACCAAUCUUAUUGGUGAGUGAUGUAGGAGCACUGGCAUCUUUGCUGAAUUAGGGGAGAAUUUUGUAGAAGUAAGAGUUUUCUUUUCCAUCUUCUUUUGCAUUAUAUUAUAAGUUAUAUUUUCGUGAAUAAAUGUUAGUUUUAGUUUUAGCGAAAGUAUGACUUUAUUGCAAUUGGCAAUUGCUAUCCUUAAAGGAGAACUUGAACUAUAUUUUCAUUUUGAAUCAAAACUACUGUUUGUACUUUGAAAUAUAGUACUACCACUAGACAUGGUUAGUGCAAAUUUUGUCCUUGUGAGUGUCGAUUGAUAUGCAAAAGACAAUUUAAUGUUUGGGAUAACCUCAAAAUAUGC
RNAcentral lists this long non-coding RNA (1076 nucleotides) under Olea europaea (common olive). RNAcentral's name for it is "long non-coding RNA (OEUR_LNC014096)". Lineage: Eukaryota; Viridiplantae; Streptophyta; Magnoliopsida; Lamiales; Oleaceae. The record is from RNAcentral.